Cherax quadricarinatus is the source of this 5609-nucleotide non-coding RNA. Lineage: Eukaryota; Metazoa; Arthropoda; Malacostraca; Decapoda; Parastacidae. The record is from RefSeq and is a predicted model, not a curated record.
GUCGAGUACUGUUAUUGAGGCUAAAACGUCGUAUAGUUUUAAAAAUAGGUUAGAUAAAUAAGAGUGAUUGAUUGGGCAUGGGUGGGUAUGAGUUGGAGCUGGCUAACUUGUACUACUGGGUCUGGUGCCGUUCUUUAUCCUUUAGUGGAGUUGACCAGACUGGGUGUGUCAUUGGGUUUAUGGGGGGGGGGGGAUUGACCUGCUGUGCAUGGGUCGGUAGGCUUGUUGUAGUGCUCCUUAUGUUCUUAAAUUGUUAAGAACAUAAGGAGCACUGUAACAGCCCCACUGACCCAUGUUGAGGAGGUCCAUGUCUAGCUCUCGUCCCCCAUCUUCUUCCCCCUCCCCCGAUUAGCCCAAUGAUCCACGCAGUCUCGUCACCUUUACUACAGAAAAUAGCACGGUACUAGACCCAGCAGCACAAGCUAGUCAGGUUUGACUCUCGCCCACGUACGCUCACUUGUGUAUUUAUGAAACUUAUUUUUUAAAUUGUAUAAAGUUUUAGCCAUAAUAAUUGUACUUGUGAGUUUAUUGCACUCAUCCACAAGUGUAUUACCCAAACAGUUGUUUCGUGUAUUUUUCUUAAGUUUGAAUUGUUACAAUUUGAAAGCAUUGUUGCAAUUCCUGUCUUGGCUAGAUAUUUUCAUCAGGGCAUUUACAAGUUUUAUUUAUUCAUGUUUUCCAUUUGUAAAAGUGUAUCAUAUCCCUUGUAUUUAUAUGGUUUUAAAGAGUGCAAAUUCAGUGAUCUGAUUCUAUCCUUAUAGGGAGGGUUUGUGAUGGUUUAGACACGUAAGCAAACACUGACAUGUGCAUAUUAGAAUUGAUUAAGGCUCCAGGUCUGAAACGUUUUCUAAUAAAUAUCAGUGUUUACGUGUAUUUUUAAAUCGGUAUUUAUUGCAAAUGAUUAUACCAGGAUUUGUGAUACAUGGGAUCGGUGACCAGAACUGAGCAGCAUAGUGUAAAUGAGGCCUAACCAAGGAUAUAUAGUUGAACAACCUGAAGAUUUGUAUUAUUUAUACUUUAGGUUAAUGUUAAGCAUAAAUCGAUAUAUUUUUUAGAAAUUAUUGUAAUAAGAUUUACAUUUAGUUUGUGGUAUGGUUAUUUUUGUAGCUAAGAAACAUUUAGGAAUUUGUAUUUCUGUCCAACUGCAUGUUCUAAUUGUCUGAGUAUUACAUCAGUUUAUUUGAAUCGUCGUGGAGUGCUCUAGUGUCUUUGUUAGAAAUAUUUUGAGGGCGUAUUUUGGUUUCAUGAGCAAAUUUGAUUAUGUCGCUAUUAUCAUGUGUGUCAUUUAUGUAAAUUUUGAAAGAGUAAGAAGGGGCCCAACACUGAACCUUAAAGAAUAUUGCUUAUGAUGUGGCCGCAUUCUGAUUUGUUGUCAUUUAUGUAAGGUACCUGUUUCAUAUUUUUCUGUGAUGCCUGUAACCAGGAAAAAAUAUAUAGUGUUAUUCUAUGUUUUAAGUUUUCUCAAUAGCCUCUGAUGUGUAAGUGUAUCGAAAUAUUAUUUUUGAUUUAAAACUAGGACUACACUAAAUAAAUAAAAGCAUUGUCAGAUAUUUCGCAUAGAAGAAUAUCAUAAUGACAACAAAGUAUGUGUUACACUGCCUUUAGAAAAUUUUGUCUUGAUAUGACUGGGUACAACCCCCAAGACGUGUGAAAGAUUACACAAUAUACCAGACAUGAAUGGAUCAGAUCAUUUAAAGUUACAAUAAUAUGUUGGUACACUGCACACACCUGAUACAUGUAAAAUGACUUUACAGGUUUCCCUCAACAUUAAUGUUUUCAGCUUUUGUGGGCUUGACACAUUUGUGAAUUGCCAACCGCCAAAUCAUAUUUAAGUUUCCCGCCACUUGUGAGUCUCUACUACUCUCCCACCGAUCCCUGCAACUGGCAGCCAGCCAGCCACCCAGCCACCCAGCCAGCCAGCCAGCCAGCCAGCCAGCCAGCCAGCCAGCCAGCCACCCAGCCAGCCCUCCCACCACUCAGUGUGGUUGAUGAAGGUUUUGGAGGUGUAUUAAGAUGAGUAAUGUUUGAUGUUUUUGUAAAUUAAUUGAUUGAAGUGUUUAAUAUAUAUAUAUAGAGAUGUUUACUAAGUUGUUUAUUUUUGUUUUUUAGUUUUGUGAAGUGAGUUGAUAGUAGAGUAUGGCUGGCUGAGUGAGUGCCGGAUUUUGGCAGAGAUGGCUAUUGUGGAAUGGUAUUUAUGUGGUAUGUAUAUUUUAUUAAUAUUGUAAGUGAUACUGUUUUAAAUGUUUCAAAAUGUUAAAAUGAAAUUUAUUUUAUUUCAGGUUGUUAAGGUAUUUUACCGCGAAGAGUGAGGGAUGGUUGUCUAUUUGUGUGUUUAAGAUGAGUAAUAUUUAUUUUAGUAUUGGUAAAUAAUUUAUUGGAGAGUGUUAAAGGUUUGUAGGGGCAAGGUUUAUUUUAUGGUGAAGAAUUUUUUUUAUGAAUGACGAAGUAAAUGUUUAUUGUAUUAAGGCUUGAAAGAAAAUAAAGAAUGAAGUUUGUAUCCCAGACUUGUUUUUAUUAAUUUUGGAGCAAAUGUAUAUAUGUAAUUUAGGAGUUGUGUAUAUGUUUGUGGUUUUUAAGGUGUUAAUGUUUGGAGAGUAGUAGUAGUAGUAGUAGUAGUAGUAGUAGUUAUUUUUUCAGAUGUAAUGUUUGGUGUUUAUAUAGUUUUAAAAAAUAUUAACAAACAGAAAUGAUUCUAGUGUUUAAGAAAGGUGAUAGCACUGCAAUAGAUAAUAAUUUUUUAUGCAAUAGGAAAUAUUUGUGAGAAAUUUAUAUAUAUUUGAAUUAUUUUUUUAUUAUUUUUCAGGUUGGUGAUGAAUUAGUGAUCGAUUGUGAUUGAUGGAGUUUGUUAUAGGAAGGAAGUGUGGGUGACUGCUGGUGCCGUGUAUUAAGAUAAGUAAUAUUUUAUUUAUUUGUUAAAAUUUUUUAAGAACGUUAAAAGUAUAUAGGGAGAAUGGUGUUGUGGGGGUGAAGAUAAUUUUUUAAUUGAGAUAAAAAGUAAUUUUUGUGUAUUAAGGCUUGAAACACAGACAAAAUAAUGAAGGUCAUAUCCUAGAUUUGUCAUUAUUAGUUUUUGAACAAGUGUAUAUAUAAUGUGGGAGUUAUGUAUAUAUUUGUGGUAUUUGAGGUCUUAAUACUUUGAGAGGAGGAAGAGUAGUAAUAGUUGUUAUUUUGUUUUUGAUGUAAUGUCGGGUAUGUAUAUAAUUUGAAAAAAAUUAAUAAAUAAAUACCAAAAUGAUUGUAGUAGUAUUUAAGAUGAUUGGACUAAAAUAGAUAAUAUUUAUAUAUCGACAAGAAAAUUUUUAUUGAGAGAAAUGUCAAUGUAUUUGAAGUGUUUUAUUUUAUUUGUGAUUGAGUUUGGAAGCGGCGAUGAGUGUAAUGAAUUCUUGUGGAAAGGUGUGUAAUAAUAGUUGUUAUAAAUGUGUGUUAAUUUUAUUUGAUAUAUUUAUUAAGAGAUUUUAAAUUUUUUUUAGGUUUAUGAUGAAUUUAUGGCGGAGUGUGAGUGAAUGACGGACUUUAUCAGAGGAAACAAAUAUGGGAUGUUGAUGAUGGUGAUUCAUGUUAAGAUAAGUAAUGUUAUUUUUACGUAUAUGUAAAUUAUUUAUUUAGGAGCAUUACAGGUAUAUAGGGAGAAUGGUGUUCUUGGGGGGUGAAGAUAAUUAUGGGUUGAGGAGCAAGAAAGUAAAGUAAAUUGUGAGUGUAUUAAGGGUUUAAACAUUGACUAAAUAAUGAAGGUUGCAUCCUAGACUUGUCAUUGUUUUAUUUUUGAAUAAGUGUAUGUAUAAUAUGCGAGUUUUUUAAACAUUUUAGGUGUUAAUAUGUGUAAUAUAGUUUUUUGUUUAUAGUUGUAUAAUGGUGGUUAUGUAUAUAUUUUUGAAAAAUUUUAAUUUAUUCUUUUAUUAAAUUUGAUUAAUAACAAUAAAAUAGAUAAUGAUUAUAAGUAGGUUUGAUGUGAGAAUCUAUUAAUUUAUAUUUGAUAUGUUUAUUAAGAAAUUUAGUUUAUUUCAGGUUUGUGAAGGUGAUGAAGAAUGUACGUUGUUUAUUUACUGAGUGGUUGAUGGAUUUUAGGCGAGGCAGCAAGUGUGGAUUGGUGGUUAUACUGGUUCUUAUGUAUUUGGUUGGUAGAGGUUGUGGCUGAGUUUUGAUUACUAUCUGGCUGACUGACUGAAUUUGGGAGAGGCAGUGAGUAUAAGGAAUUAUUAUUGAAAGAUUUGUGAAGGUGCUUUAUUAGUGGUUUAUUGAUUAUGAGUGAAUCAAUGAUGGAGUUGGAGUUGUGUAGUGAUGGAAUGUGCUGAUAUAUUAGCAGGAAGAAUUGAUUGAUGGAGGAUGAGAGCUUAGUAUGGUGGUUGAUUGGUAGUAAUAUUUAGCAGAGGGUGGGAAUAUGAGCAGCUAAUAAUGAAAAGUUAAGUAUUGUUUAGUAAUUUAUAUUUAAAUUGACUCAAGAAAUUGUAAUGACAAGAUUUCAAACAAAUGAUAUGCCUGGCUGGGAUUGAAGGUGUUUUCAUAGUCUCAAAACUGCAUUGUGUUGUUAGCCACUAGACCAAGUAGCCACAAUAAGAUUCAUUCAACUAGGUAUAUAUGUACACCAUAGGAAGGUUAGAAGAGGCAUGACAAUGAUGACAAAUGUAAGUUUUUAAAGAGUAAUGUCCAAGUAGUGUGGCCGUGAUGAAGUGUAAGUGAAGUCUCUGGAUUGCUGUCAACACGUCGUUAUCGGGUAAUGCGACGGGCUGGAGUUUUGAGACUAUAACUGUGGGUUGAAUCCUGGCUGUGCUUAUGGUUAGUUUAAGAAAUAAACACUAAGUAAAUGUACUUAUUAAUUUGAAGAUGAUAGAAGUUUGUAAGAUGCUGAAGAGGCUUUUAUGCCUAGCAUUAAUUGUAGUUUAAAUAAGCAGUAUGUUGAGUGUUAAACAUUGUAGUAAAGAUAUGUUAAGAAUGAAUCACAGUGAAUUAUUUGAAAGAUAUUUUAUGAUGUUGAAAAAUUUUACAUUAAUCUUAAAAAUCAAUAUUAACAAAUUAGUUUAAUAAAUAGAUGAAAUAUUGAUGAAAGUUUGAAUAUGUUAUGUGAAAUGUUAGAAUUGAUUAUGUUUUUAAUAUUAGUUAAAACAAAUUUAUUAUGGAGAAAUGUAUAUUUAAAAAUUUCAAAAUGUAAAGUUUACUAAAUUUUAUUAUUUUUUCGUAGGUUGUUGGAAGCGUGUUUGCGGAGGUUGCAUUGAUCAAUAUGUGAUGUAGAGGUUUUAUAUGGAGUGAGUUAAUGUGAUGUUUAAUAUUUUAAGAUAGUUAAUUAAUUAUUAAAUGCAAAUUAGGUGUAAUAGGUUUUGGUGAAUUAUUGAAUGAGCAUUGUAAAAGCCAUAAUGACUUUCUUCACUGAAAGAGUGAAGAUACUGCUGGUGUCCAGACCAAGUUUUCACUAAUGUCUACAAACGUACAUUUAACAAUGAAGGUUGCAUCCCAGACUUUUCAUUGUUAAUAUGACUGCAUGUGUAUAUAUAAUGUGGGAGUUUUGUAUAUGUUUGUAGUGUUUGAGGCAUUAUGUGGAGACUUGCGUUUUGGAAAUACCGGGUAUUCAUGUACUCUGGAUGGGUUGAUUUGUCGCUGUGAAAUGGUUAGUAACA